AAUUAUGCAUGUUUACGGUUUCUGUUUUCGCACUUCCUCUAUUUUCUCUGUUCAUAUACCACGUCAAGUGCGUGUAAAAGACAUUCUGAGCAAAAUAUAGAAGAAAAGUGCAUUAACGUGUACUUUGUCUAACAAAAAUGUCACUUCAGUUCUUGACGUUGGUCGCCAUCUACGUUGUGUUCAUCACCACAGAAGCUGUUUCAGGUGAAGUUGUGAAGAAAGCAGUGGGUGAUCAAGUUUCUUUUCGUCCAGACAAAAUUGUUCCUCCUGUCACCAGCAUUACCUGGAAACACAGAACCAGUAGUGGAAUUGUCUGGGCGAUUGAAUGGGAUGAAGGAGAAAUUCUAAUCCCGAAUCCGAGAUUCAAAGACAUCACAACUGUUGAUGAGAAGACUGGACAAAUCACUUUAACUAAUUUAAAAGUCGAACAUAGUGGAGUUUAUACCAUUGACAUCAACAGUAAAGAGCAGGAACAAAAAUUCACAUUGACUGUUAUGGAGCCUGUCCCUCAACCUGUGAUAAAAAUAGAGAAGACUGAUAACCCUGAUGUUGUGUAUUUGAGAUGUGAGUACAGUGAACCAAUCAUCUGGAAGAAUUCUGCUGGAGAAACACUGAUGGGUUCACUAAUCGCUCCGAAAGGAGAGUCCAUAGUAGUCAUAAACAAUGGAAAUCCAGAAAACUUCUACACCUCUACACUGAAGAACUAUGUGAGUGAGAAGACCAGUGAUCCGGUCUAUGAGAGAG
Long non-coding RNA from Ctenopharyngodon idella (grass carp), 744 nucleotides. RefSeq lists it as uncharacterized. The transcript has 3 exons. The record is from RefSeq and is a predicted model, not a curated record. Lineage: Eukaryota; Metazoa; Chordata; Actinopteri; Cypriniformes; Xenocyprididae.